GAUGAACGCUGGCGGCGUGCUUAACACAUGCAAGUCGAACGAAGCACUCUACUUGAUUUCCUUCGGGAUUGAUUGUUCUGUGACUGAGUGGCGGACGGGUGAGUAACGCGUGGGUAACCUGCCUUGUACAGGGGGAUAACAGUUGGAAACGGCUGCUAAUACCGCAUAAGCGCACAGCAUCGCAUGAUGCAGUGUGAAAAACUCCGGUGGUAUAAGAUGGACCCGCGUUGGAUUAGCUAGUUGGUGAGGUAACGGCCCACCAAGGCGACGAUCCGUAGCCGGCCUGAGAGGGCGACCGGCCACAUUGGGACUGAGACACGGCCCAGACUCCUACGGGAGGCAGCAGUGGGGAAUAUUGCACAAUGGGGGAAACCCUGAUGCAGCGACGCCGCGUGAGCGAUGAAGUAUUUCGGUAUGUAAAGCUCUAUCAGCAGGGAAGAUAAUGACGGUACCUGACUAAGAAGCUCCGG
RNAcentral lists this ribosomal RNA (470 nucleotides) under uncultured bacterium. Its description in RNAcentral is "bacterial SSU rRNA". It matches the Rfam family "Bacterial small subunit ribosomal RNA", at positions 28 to 496 of the family's 1533-position model. The record is from RNAcentral.